AAACAAUGCAUAUGAGAUUGAUUUAGAACUAACUUAAUAGAUAUUUAUGUUCCAUUACAUGGUACUUGGUAGCUUAAAAGAAGAUAUUCAGAUCACUUGAUAAUGUCAUACAUUGGCUUUAUAAAAGUAAGCUAUAUUAGCAAAGGCCAGAGAUGCAUUGUCUUUCUCGCAGCAAGGACCAAGACGCGAGAAGGUGGUGGUAUUAGGUAGAGUCAUCGCUACUUGUCCGAGCAGUAUCGAACAUAAUUUCGUCGUCUAAGCAGGCAUGCUUAUGGUCAGUGGCGGCGCCAGGAUUCAGCCACACCCCCGGCCGGCCUAGGAAGCCUUCCAGCACUGCAGUGCUCUCUACAGUAUACAAAGGGAAUCAGCCUUAUACCCCAGGCAUCCACUCGGGCUGCCUGGGGCCUGUCUCCGCCGCAGCCUACAAUCGCACAUAGUGGUUUAAGCCAUCAUCCAUGUCUCCAACAUAACCCUCAAUGCAGCUUGAAUCUGAGUCUGGAUCAUAUGCCUUUCUUCUGCAAUGAGACAUGCCACGCUAGUCACGCUUUGAAGCGCAACCACAACAUCAUGAAUUUCCAGAAGAGUCUAUUUGAUAUCACAGAUAGUGAUUAAAGCAGUAGGGUCCAAUGUAGCUCGAUUAUGGAUUUUGUUUGAUGUAACACGCACUUCGUCUGAUAGUGUGACGCUUCCCUAGUCAUCCGUUUAAUCUCAACAGGACAACAUCACAUUUUAUCUGCUAACCAAAGUACAACAGGUAAAACAAAGUACAACAGGCAAAGCUUGAAUCUAACUAUCAUAAAAAAAUACACAAACCUAUCUAGCAUAAAUAAUUUGGCUCGGUGUAUCCAUGUUAACAACUGAUUAAUGGAAUAUAUUGGGUUGGGGUACCAAGGCUAAUUAGUUACAUGAUUCCUAAUCAGGAAGCCUACUCAAUAAUGUCAAUCUACAAAGCAUUCACAAUACGAAAAAGCGAAUAAAAUGCAGCUUCCAUAGGAAAAUGCGCAGAAUAAUUAGCAUCAAUCAAGGGAAGCCAAACCAAGCAGAGAACAUCACAAACAGAACAGAGCCAUAUAAGUAAGUGUGAAUGGAGGAAGUAAAAGCAAAGAGAGAGGAACACCUCGGCUAGAUUCGAGGAAGUCAUGUUCCACUCCUAGGCUCCUAGCGCACCUGUAGCCAAUCCCUCGUCCGUGAGAUGAAGCAACAUAGAUUGGGUUUAGAAAGCAAUAGAAUCACACUAACAUAUAGUAUAGGAAGAUGUGUUACCUUCCUAACAAAAAUAUCGAUGCUUGUCGAUUUAGUUCCUAAUCACCAUUGAUGUAGUUUGUCCUGGCUACUGCGGCGUGCACUGCCAUUUAGAAGAAAUAUAAACUAUUCAUGUGUAGAAAGAUCAUUGCUGCAACAUGGAACAACAUGUUCUAUAAGAGAGGCUUAGUUCAGCAAAAUCAACACGAUUACAUGACAAACUAUCAAACAUUGCACUAUAUAUCAAGAAUAUACAAGCAAGGCAAAAUCAAUCUAGCAAAUUCAACAAGGGUUGACUGAUGAUGUCUAAGUCCUUUUGGUUCACUACAAUCUUUCUGAACUCAUUCGUUUUUGAGAAAUUGGUUCCGAACCUGCAUCGAGGGGUGGAAGGAACGAGGAGGAGGGGGUCUCUUUUUUACCGCUCCUGGUCUAGGGUUUUCACUCCGAGCGUUUUGGUCGCGGACUGGGCUGACCAACCCUUCGCUGCCUCGUGGGCCAAGGAUCAUAUGGGUCGAGUAACAGGCACUUGAUAAAAAAACAUUGUGGUAACUAAACUUUACAUCAAACAGUAAAAUCCAACGGUGAAAAAUCAUCCAACCUCUAAUCAGAUGGCCAAUAUGUGUGCGCACGGGAGAGGCCCCAGAAUGGCGGGUAGCCUAGCUCCUUUUAUAGUAGAGAUUUUCUUACAGGUUAACAGAAGUAGUGUGCCAACCUUAAAAAAUAAAUACAGAGGCCAGCCAUGCUUUCUGUAACACAAACACAAAGAUAUUCUCUUUCCAGCAUGGCACCUAUAAAUGAUGAAAAGAAAUAAGAAGGAGAAUGGUCGCAUGUCAAAUAGAAAUAAAAUACAGAGGCCAUGCAUGCUGUAAGCUAAUAGCUAAGCGAAUGCCAUAUAUAAAUGAAAUCGACGUCGAGGGGAAACAGAGCAGCCAAAGAUGAAUUCCGAUGGUGCACAAAAGCUUAAUGAAGAAGUAUCUAUGUAGAUUGAUUAGAAACAAGGGAAGGAACUCUCAAGUGGUGAACAUUAUGUAGUCGGGUAAUUCAAUUAUUCAGCUGCGUCAAUCGCCCUCGCGCCGUGAUUAUUUAGUGGACCUUUCUCAUUUUCUUAUGUACAUGUAUAAUCAGUAAUAGUACAGUUGUGCAUCCUAUGUGCCAAUAAUCUGCUCAGCAACCCAGACAUACAAACCGGCAUGCAAAGACAAGAAGAAUGGCACCUACCGGUAGAUAUGAUGGUGUGUUGCAAAUUAGAAAGGAAAAAAGAACGAUGUGGGACAAAAGGGCAGGAACAUACCUCAAUCAAAUGGAUCCAUCUCAAGCAAUGGAGCAACAUGAAUGCAACUAACCCUCACGUCUCUCCUGCAACAGUAACAAAACUUUAGAGAAGCGAAGCAAACACAAAAUAAAGACAACUUUUAUUUGCUCAAUGGGAUAUAUUGAAAACAAAACAUUUUACACAAGUGUACAAAGAAGCAAGUGCAACAACCACUUAACAAAUUAUAGAGCU
This 2746-nucleotide long non-coding RNA is filed under the name Triticum aestivum (bread wheat). RNAcentral describes it as "long non-coding RNA (TAES_LNC004808)". Lineage: Eukaryota; Viridiplantae; Streptophyta; Magnoliopsida; Poales; Poaceae. The record is from RNAcentral.